This 263-nucleotide unclassified non-coding RNA is filed under the name Plectosphaerella populi. RNAcentral's name for it is "partial contains 5.8S ribosomal RNA, internal transcribed spacer 2, and large subunit ribosomal RNA". Lineage: Eukaryota; Fungi; Ascomycota; Sordariomycetes; Glomerellales; Plectosphaerellaceae. The record is from RNAcentral.
CGCACAUGGCGCCUUCCAGUAUCCUGGGAGGCAUGCCUGUCCGAGCGUCGUUUCAACCCUCGAGCCCCCGUGGCCCGGUGUUGGGGAUCUGCCACGGCAGGCCCCUAAAUCCAGUGGCGGACCCGACGGGCCCUCUCCUUUGCGUAGUAGCAUUCGCCUCGCAUUGGGAGCCCCCGGCGUCCACGCCUCUAAACCCCCCUCAAGCCCGCCCCGGCGGCACCAAGGUUGACCUCGGAUCAGGUAGGAAUACCCGCUGAACUUAA